Long non-coding RNA from Vigna unguiculata (cowpea), 369 nucleotides. NCBI's taxonomy places the organism in Eukaryota, Viridiplantae, Streptophyta, Magnoliopsida, Fabales, Fabaceae. The record is from RefSeq and is a predicted model, not a curated record.
CAGCACCUCUUCUCUCUUCUUUUCCUCUACCAUCUCUCUACCAAAAAGAGAAUUCUGAACCUACUCUUCAUCCAUUUCAAAGCCCAGACCUGAGGCUAGCUCAUGAUCCCCUAUCUCAACUGCAAUUCCCCUUUUUCAUCUUAGAAGGUUGUACAAUUAAGGAGCUCUUGGUAGAAAGGAUUCUAGCUAGUUAAAAAUCCUAUAGAGAGUUGAAACCUGAUGGAGACGCUUCUUCUUGAGCAGAAGUUGGAGAUUGGCGAGGAGUGCCACUAUAGUUAGACUUUUACUGUAUUAUUUUGAGGUCUUGGGUGUAGUCUAGGAUCCCCUUUUACCCACUCUUAUCUGAUGUAUAUGAGUUCUUAGAUGUUU